This 395-nucleotide long non-coding RNA is filed under the name Lynx pardinus (Iberian lynx). Lineage: Eukaryota; Metazoa; Chordata; Mammalia; Carnivora; Felidae. The record is from RNAcentral.
GCUCUUCCUCAGGGUAGUCAUGUCCUUUUGUGGGAUACUUUUUGUUUCCACCACAGGACACAAUGGCAUGGAGUGUUUUGUCUUAAGUAAAAAAUAAGAUAGAAAAAAGAGGUUAGGGAAAAUGUGGGUUUAAGGUCAGUGGGUAUAAGCAGGCAAGCAGUGAAGGUCAGGUCUGGGGUUCUAGCUAGUGACAUUAACUCCCUCUUGCAUCUUAGGUACCAUUAUGACCUCAGCCUAUGGCCACUAGGUAAUUAUGGUAUUUAUUGCAGGGAUUGCUGACCUUCAGGGAUGUGGCCAUAGAAUUCUCUCAGGAGGAAUGGGGAUGCCUGAACCAUAGUCAGCGGGAACUGUACAGGGAUGUGAUGUUAAAGAACUAUGGACACCUCCUCUUCUUG